GGCACUCUAAGGAGACUGCCGGUGACAAACCGGAGGAAGUGGGGAUGACGUCAAGUCCUCAUGGCCCUUAUGGGUAGGGCUUCACACGUCAUACAAUGGUCGGUACAGAGGGUUGCCAAGCCGCGAGGUGGAGCCAAUCCCACAAAGCCGAUCGUAGUCCGGAUUGUUCUCUGCAACUCGAGAGCAUGAAGUCGGAAUCGCUAGUAAUCGCAGGUCAGCAUACUGCGGUGAAUACGUUCCCGGGUCUU
Molecule: ribosomal RNA, 248 nt
Filed under: uncultured Thiobacillus sp.
Lineage: Bacteria; Pseudomonadati; Pseudomonadota; Betaproteobacteria; Nitrosomonadales; Thiobacillaceae
Description: partial 16S ribosomal RNA
Rfam family: Bacterial small subunit ribosomal RNA
Source: RNAcentral